This 353-nucleotide long non-coding RNA is filed under the name Homo sapiens (human). RNAcentral describes it as "HSALNT0407453". The record is from RNAcentral. Lineage: Eukaryota; Metazoa; Chordata; Mammalia; Primates; Hominidae.
GUAAAGAUGAGGCAACAAGACACAGAAAGAACACCAUAAGAAGACAGAGGGAAAACCAAGGAGUACUAAAGAUUGCCGGCAAACCACCAGAGGCUAGGAGAGAGGCAUGGAACAGAUUCUCCCUCACAGCCCUCAGAAUAAACCAACCCUGCCAACACCUUGAUCUUGGACUUCUACCCUCCAGAACUGUAUUGGCUCCAAGAGCACUUCCUAAUAAACACCCUAUAUGCUGAUCUCCAUCUCAGAGUCUCAUCCCUGGUGGCCUCACACUGUGACAGUCAUCUUUAGUUCUGAUGUUAGUCUAACAUUUGAUCUGUUCUGAUCUCAAGUCCUCAAUAAAAAAUUCAGAUUUA